UAGAUCGUUGUUAAUUGUUUAAAACAUUAUCAGGAUAUUUGGACAUAAUGUGCUAGAGGUGUCUCAUCUAACCCCACUCUACUAUAGGGAUAUAACAUUGAUUACUAUAGGGAUAUAACAAAAGAAGGACGACAGAAAAACUAUGAAAUAUACAACAAUUUUUCACAAGAUAAAAUAAGAAACGUCAAAUCACACGUUUAUUUAUCAUAGCUCAGGAUUUGUUUUAAUACCUUACUGAUAUCUCACAAAACCUUUGUAGCAAAAAAUUGCCAAUUUUAUAUAAAUAGUAUGAAUCUGGUUUGCAUUUAUACUUGAAGGUUAGUUAAAAAUAUUAGACAAAAUAAUUACAUUUAUUUGAAAUAAGGACAAACCUUAGAAAUAGGGGUCAGUAUGGUAGCGUUGAAUAUAUACAAUGUUAAAGCUAAAUUCGCGUUUGAACGAUAAACUAGAACCGCGAAUCAUUGUGAACUUAGUUUGUUACGUCACAUUUAGCCCGCCUUUUAAACCGUGAUGCUGAUUGGUCAGGUUAAUUGCUCAUGCGACCGACGUCUCGCAUCAGCUGAUUACUUCGCGCAUAAAACGCCUCUUAUGCAAAGCGAGUUAUAACCACGUUUCAGUUUAGAUGAAGUUGGUUUCACAUGAGGUUAGUAGUUGGAAGGUUUAAAGAAGUUUUAUUGCAAAGACUUUGGUUAAGUACUAUUUCACUACAUUAUGUUAUACAGUAUUAUUUUGGCCCACAUUUUAUUCAAUACUAUUUUGCUACAAGUUCUGUGCCUUGUUUUUGUUACUUUAUUAUAGUUCAGGUUUAAAUUACUCUUUAUCACAUUCUAUUUCCGGUAUCGCGACCUUUCUUUCUUACGUCAAUCGCGAUGUCACAUCACGUAUUAUCUCGGUUCACAAUCGCUGCGUUCUGUUACGUCACAAAUCCACACAAGUUUGCUUAUUUCGUUCGCGUCGGUAUUACGUCAAUGAUUUCGUUACGUCAUAGCUGACACACAACAAGUAGCUGUUGUACGCGUACGUUUCGCGCUUUUGUCAUUGGGCCCCAUGCGCGUUUUACGUCGACGCAGGGCACAUGACUUGUAUAAUCUAAGUAUAUUUGCGCUGUGGACGCGUAACAAAAGAUCAAAGAAUUGGUAAAGUAUAAAUUACAAUUGGCAAUAUUACGUACAUGACCUAUUUUUUAGAAACAUCUUUGAUGUGACGUCACGAAGCGGUGAUGAUGCAACAAAAACCCACUUCAACGUGGUAUGUGACGUCACACAGGAUCAAUCGGACCACGGCGCGAAAAUGAAAUAAAGCUAUCCUACCUUUGCACACGAAGGACAAAGACGAAGACGCCAAUAAAGGAUACACGGUUUGACAUUUUUAGUCAGUCACUACUUAAGUGCAUUUUGCACAUCACUGAAAUAUAUACAAUGAAACCAUGGCGAACAUCUUGCUGGAUCAGAUUUUGUUGUCGUACACUCUAUAUGGUGUGUUUCUUCUACAAAGAUCAAAAUCUGUUAGUGCUGAUUUUGUAUAUUUUCCCGAUCAUUUGGUGAGUACGCUCUAUGUUAGUACACAAACACUCGGGUAAUAUUAACACACAGUAUAAUGCGCAUAAAUUUGAUAGUAAUCCGUUUAAUAAUCUGUAACGUAAACUUCUCCACGUGACUAACUUUAUAACAAAACGUCAUGUAGCGUGAUUGGGAAGAUGGCCACGUCACAAUUACGCUGCUGCGUCGAUACAGUGGAUCAGAGUAUUGCCCUGCUGACCCUGCGUUCGUUGUGGUUACGUCAGUUUCUAUUGAGCUACGUCACGGUCAAGUUAUUGUGUGGACGUCGUCGCCAGUGAUGCUACGCUUAAUUUUUUAGGUUACUGCCGGCACAGUGAUGCUACGCUCGGUUUUAUGUCACUGUCAAUGCGGCUCGUAAUCACCUAACGCAAGAACAAGAGUAUCGCGGUAUACCAAUAUGGCGAGUUACCUUUUAAUUAGGAAAUGCAAUAGCUGUUUUUGG
Molecule: non-coding RNA, 2001 nt
Organism: Ciona intestinalis (vase tunicate)
Lineage: Eukaryota; Metazoa; Chordata; Ascidiacea; Phlebobranchia; Cionidae
Source: RefSeq, a predicted model, not a curated record